Molecule: long non-coding RNA, 2170 nt
Organism: Strigops habroptila (Kakapo)
Lineage: Eukaryota; Metazoa; Chordata; Aves; Psittaciformes; Psittacidae
Source: Ensembl
AGUGGUCACCAGCAGGAGACUCCCAGGUGCAAGUGGCUGCAAGAGACUUGCAUUUUUUAACAACUGAAAUCUUGACUGGAGGCCAACUCAAGUCAUAACUAUGAUUAACAAUAAUAGCUGGAAGCCUGCUUAAGCCAUGUAUUCCGAGGUCUGCAUUUUUCAAAAGCCUUACUCACAGGACAAUCCCAUGGCGAGGAACUAUUAAUAAGGCAGUUUCCGAUGAGAUACAAUUCAGUUACAACACAACAGUACUAGAAGUAUUUCUAUAAAGUUUGAAAUGUUUUUAAUAUGUACAUUCUUUCUUAGUAAAUAUUAAAGUAGUGCUUUUCUCUUGCACUUUUUUCAUUAGACUUCUAAAAGGGCAUCAGAAAUACAGUUUUCAACCCCCUCCAAACCAAUGCACAGUUGUUACCUUCGUAACAAGCACAUAUGAAUUCUGUACACCUUUCCCUCCCCACAAAAGAAAUAAAAAUAUGCCAUGACUAUCCAAUUACACAUCAUCACAACAGGUUUAAAUUACGCAUACAAAUAAUUCCAGAGUAUUUAGAAAAACCCAACAUAUUGGAUUUAUGAAACCAUUCCAUGCAUUCAACAACAAAUGAAAAGAAAAAAAGAAAAAAAAAUUAUUAAGUUUCUUUAAAUGGUGUUUUCUCUUUCUAUCCAAGUACCAAAGUCUGGAUUCAGUGUAUCAUUAAGACUAACCACUGCUUGAGUCAUAGAAACAUGACAGUACAUAGAUAACCAAGUUUCUAUUUAUAGACAAUAUGCUAUACAGUUACUACCUCUUUUAAUGAAUGUCAGAUAAAGCAAGUUUUGCUUUCUAAGACGUUGAAACUGCACAUUAAGAAAACAGUAAGAGGUGCUGCUAAAUAGGUAACAACAUUUUGAAAGGAAGGCUAUGUAUUUAUAUGAUCCUGCUUAGUAGGAGCAGUUAAUUAGCAGGGUUCCUAUGCUGUUAAGCUAGUUUGUUUCUUUUUCCCAGAAUGACAGGCUAUUCAAGAGCUAGAGCUGACUAACCCAGAAAUAUCACCAAUUUUAUCUUCAGGAGGACAAAAAAGAGUUUAUGCAGUGAAAGCCCCUGGGGGCAGUCUCUCUCAUUACAUAAAAUCUUUGUAUUUUCUACAAGAGAGGCUCGUAGCACAACAUACAGAUUGGAAACAGACAUUUCGGACAUACAUUACAAACCUGAAUUCAAAGGGUAUUCUUUUUAAUCUUUACUAUGAAGACGACAAGUAAAAUUAUAAUACUAUUUACAUGCAAAUGACUCUGCAUGAUUUUGUAAUGUCCUAUUUUUGUGUUUGCCUUAAGAUACUCCUUGAAAAGCUGUACUUCAAUUCUAAAUUUAUUUUACAUGAAUCUUGACAGGUAUUAGUCUCAGGCAUUACUCUCUCCCAGUAAAUAGAUCAAUACUGUCAAUAUGCUCAAUUUAUUUUAACAAAUCAAUGUAGAGUGUCUUAUGUUCCUGAUAUACAGGGGAUAAUUCCUGUGCUCAUUAGUAUCCAUUUAGUAGGAAAGCUCUCCAUAGCAAGGCGCAUUUUCAGUACAAUUAAAACCAGUUCGCUGCAUUAACUAUUUGCACCUUGCAAUACUGCUGAACUGCAGCCAAGUACAGUAGUACAAGAUCAUUGAUCAGUACCAUGUGUUUCAGCUGUUAACAAUUCUGUUUGUGCCACAAAACCAGAAGCCAAUCAUUUAAAAUAAAAAUAAUCUUGGCUCUUCUUUAACUGCAUUUAGCAGGUGAUGUUGGUUACCAUCCUUAUCAAACAAAUUUUGUAAAGGCUAUUUACAGUGUACAUGGCUGAGCAUGCACCUUACAGACACAAACACAUCUGCCAGUUUGAUACCAUGUAAUUACACAGUGCCUGAAAAUGACAACACAUCUUAAACACCAUUUUAAUUAACAGUUUCAAGCGGGAAAUGGUCUUUAUUUUACAACUGCUAUACUUGCAUGAGUUUUUAUUUUUUUUAAUAUAAAAACACUAACUCCUGUCCAGAAGUCUAGACACAUUCUACAUACUACAGGUUAAGGCAGUAAAAAAAUGUGUUCCUGAUAACUGGUCUUGACAAUGUCAAUUAAAGCUGUCUGAAGCCACUCCAGUUCUCCAACAGAGCUUUGAAAUCCCAAAUAAUUUGCAAGUUAAAAAAAAAAAAAAAAAAAAAAAAAAAAAAA